This 342-nucleotide ribosomal RNA is filed under the name uncultured Laceyella sp. RNAcentral describes it as "bacterial SSU rRNA". It matches the Rfam family "Bacterial small subunit ribosomal RNA", at positions 337 to 694 of the family's 1533-position model. The record is from RNAcentral. Lineage: Bacteria; Bacillati; Bacillota; Bacilli; Caryophanales; Thermoactinomycetaceae.
UCCUACGGGAGGCAGCAGUAGGGAAUUUGCCGCAAUGGGCGAAAGCCUAACGGAGCAAUGCUGCGUGAGUGAUGACGGCCUUCGGGUUGUAAAACUCUGUUCUGAAGGAAGAAGUUCUGACGGUACUUCAGGAGAAAGCCCCGGCUAACUACGUGCCAGCAGCCGCGGUAAUACGUAGGGGGCGAGCGUUAUCCGGAAUUAUUGGGCGUAAAGCGCGCGCAGGCGGUCAUUUAAGUCAGGUGUGAAAGGCUGCGGCUCAACCGCAGAGCGGCACUUGAAGCUGGAUGACCUGAGUGCAGGAGAAGAGAGCGGAAUUCCCGGUGUAGCGGUGAAAUGCGCAGA